This 3329-nucleotide long non-coding RNA is filed under the name Heterocephalus glaber (naked mole-rat). RNAcentral's name for it is "lncRNA (ENSHGLG00100044328.1)". The record is from RNAcentral. Lineage: Eukaryota; Metazoa; Chordata; Mammalia; Rodentia; Bathyergidae.
CAUUAUCAGAAUGACUUAUCUGGGUAAAAUCAUCAGACUGGAUAUGCAAACAGGCAAAAAAAAGGGUUCAAACCCACUGGCUCAAACAUUGAAAAGUACCAAUUAUGUAUUUCUUUGGGUGAUAACACCUGUUUUCAAAGAACCAAGAAGGCUAAGACUUUUUAGCAAAUAUAGUGGAAACUAUUUCCCAGUAUGCUUUACAGACAACACAUUUUAGAUAGGAAAUUUAUUCAGGCCAGGACAUACUACAUUGUCCGAGGACCAUACAUGCUUUAUUUUCUCACUAAGUUGUGAUAAUCCAGCUAAAGAAGUUUCAUUAAACUGCUUAAAUCUAAAUGAAAUGCUUCGGUGCAGAAAGUAUUUUCUAACUGUAUGAUUCUGUCAAAUCAGCCUUGCUCUCACAUCUAACACAGAUUUUAAGGUAGUGACUCAGCCACAGGAACCUUUAUUUUUUUAUGGCAUGGUAUCCUUGCUAAAUAAUACUUUAUCCCUCAGAGGCACAAGAAGCAGAUGAAUCAAUCCAAACAGACAACUUGUAAUGUGUAGGUUUUUGUGGUGCUGGGGACUGAACCCAUGGCCUUGUGCACACUAGACAAGCACUCAACCCCUGAGCUACAUCCCCAGCCUUUCUUAAGUAUCUUCAAUAGGCCCCCUAUAAGAUCAUUUUGUUAUUAUAAAAAAAAGGAAGUUAUAAAGACUUAAGCAUCAACUAAAUAACUGAUUCAAAAGAGGAUCACAUUUACAUUGUAUUACUUUGGGUACUUGUAUCUUUGGUUGAUCUAAGAUUAAAUGGGAGACAGAAUAAAUAAAAUAUUGAAAACUUUUGUUUUGCUUAAUGAAAUAAAAAGAAAUACAAUUCAGGUUGUCACUUAUAAUUUUAGAGUUUCACAUAUAGCAAUGCUGUGUUACUAAGCACUGAACACUUUCAUAAAAAAUUUAUUUCACACUUUUAUACAAAUAUCCACAGGUAUUUUCUAAUCAUGAAAUAAUUUUACAAUGCUAGUUAGUAUAAAAACGUAUCAAAUGCAAACAGACCAGUGACUUGACUUGAGAUGACAUUUUUAACAACUAUAAAUUGAAAUACCAUAACAUUCUUGUUUCUUUGUUAUUAAACUACCCCUCUUUUCAGGACAUUCAUUUUUAUAACAAAGGCCUACAAACACUGUCAAAAUAUCAGUUUCUUAGUGUCCUAUAACAAAGCCAGUGAGUUAGGCUCCAAUUUACCCAAGAAACUGAGACUUUAAACACUGUUAUGACCUGAUUUAGAGAAAUUUUUGUAAACAAAAUGCCAUUUGCAAAAUUUUUUGUGAAUAAAAUUUCCAAAAUACAACCAGAAUAAAGUUCUUAGUAUCCUAAGGAUGUAAGAUUUGUGAAAAAGAAAAAGAAAAACAAAUAAACAAACAAAAAAACCACCAAGGCAAUAAUGGCACAUACAGCUCUCUUGUUCUUUUAAAAGAUUGAGGGCUGGGGAUUUAGCUCAGUGGCUCUGCACCUGCCUCAUAAGUGCAAAGUCCUGAGUUCAAUCCCUGGUACCAAAAAAAACACAAAGAUUGAUACACUGCUUAUACUACAUCCAAAUUAGCACCUGUUUGCUGUUGCUCCCCAUAUAACUUAAUUUAUCAAAGCACAGUAAGUUGUAAAAUUCAGCUUUGAUAUUUAUUCAAUCUCUAUUGAAUAUAUAGUGACAAUUGUCUUUCUCCUCUCAUCCACACAGCUGGACAAUUAAACAAUUCAAAGAUCUUGUGAAAGUAGUCCCCAAAGUCAUUUGGGGAAUUUAGAUAGGGGAAGAAACAAAAUAAAAAACAUUGACUCACUGAUUGAAUGGCUCCAAUAACACCUAAAAGUUAAGAGCUAUGACGUUCUGCCUGACUAGAAUCAAGGUUUUGGUAGCAGAUACUCAUUCAGUAGUCUCACACUGGAUGGGUCUGGACCCACCCUGGGUGCUCACUAGUUUCUUUGAAGCCCUGAAUAUACAGUAUUUGCACCAGUGAGUAAACAUGUCCUAGAGUUCAAGAAACAAAGUCAUUUUCUUUAAAAGUUCCUGAAAGUCACAGCAUGAAAUUCAAACAUAUCACACAGGUCUCUGAACUAAAAAGUUAUCAGAUGUCUGAUGAGAAAGAAACAUAGUUAAAUCCUCUUUCUUAAACCUUUUGGGUUGGGGGGAGGGGACGCCAAGGAGAUGUUAUAAUUUAUAGAUAAGUUAUUAAAACAACUCUUGGAUACAUUUACAAAGAAUUAUUAUUAUCUUCUGGCAGUAAAUAAUUUAGGUCAAACUAAUGACCUGCCAUGUUCUAAGUCUGAUUGCAUAAACCAUAGUGAAGGAUCUUUGGCCUGUUAGUCAAUAACAAAAUGGUUUGAAGAAAAAAUAAAUAUCAUAUACAAACAAAUAUAACUAGCAUUCAAGUCUGCUGCACCUGUGUGUUUCAGUGAAAAGGAGAAGGAAACCUGCAGGCAUCUGGUAUGUGCAAGGAUUCACACAUCUAUGAAAAGGAGAAAGAGGGCAGGAUGGCAAUGUCACCUAUUGCACAUUUAAUAAGACAGCACUUUAAGCUGAGACAGGACUACGCCAACAGCAGAGCCCCGUGCUGCAGGACAGCUAACCUGCAGGUUCUCCAGCCCUACGGGAAUGAUGCUUACAGCAGCAGACUGGGCCGGCCCUUCCCCAGCGCGUGUAAGUCAGCCACACCAAAAUCAAAGGCAACCCAGAAAGUUAAAUUAAGGCAGUUACAGAAAAAUCCACUCUAACAGUCUUAAAACUUGGCUGUGUAAGCCAGGAGCCGCCUUCAGCUGCGUAACAAUAUCCACAGUUUCAACUGUAGCCUCGCACCGUGUGUCGCGUUGGUCUGAAAUCAAUCUUCAGAUUUUGAACAGGCUUUUUAAAUCCAUAUGAAUGUCUGAGUUAAAAGAAAAAGCAUUUUGGGUACUGUGAAGCUUGUCUGACCCCCUAGGAGUAACUUUCAUUUUCGCUCCACUUUGUGAUCCACUGUUUUUUUUCCAAGUUAUCAUUAUAUUUUUCAUCUUUGAUCUCUUUCUUCUUUCCGGAUCCUUACAGCAUAGUAUCGGGAACGCUUAUCAUCGUACCUCCAGAGCGCUUAAAGAAUCCACACUAGAGAAGGGGGGAGAGAGAAACAGACACAAAUUAAUUCAUCUCAAAGAAACCAAGUGCAGUAAACAGAAAUGUCUAAGCUUUCUGUUCAGCCAUGUCUACCUUUGGACCAAGGGAAAAGAGAUACCAUUUUAAGAAAGCACUAACAGGUUGAAAAGAACAGCCAGGAGGAAUGUUAGAGAACAGCUGUAAAAGUGAAAGAGAAGUCCAUUUUUACUUUGUC